GCGUAAAGAGCCGAGUAACAACGACGCAAGUACAAGUGCUAUAACCUGCUUUGUUGAUGCCCGCAAAUAUUUUAUUUAACAACUUUUUUGAUACUAUUUUAAUGAUUAAACAUGAGUUUUCAAGAAUAUUAUAAUGCUUACGUUAAAAGACACAUCUACAAGACAAAGAAAUGCUGUCAAGAAGAAGUGGUAAAGUUAUGGAACACAGCAAAACAAAAGUAUCCAAAGAAAGAAGAUUUGGUGAAACAUAUUCAGCAUGAGAUUGAUCAGCAGCGGAAAAAAAGGUCUCUCUCUCUAAGGGAAACACUCGGAGCUCUAAUAAUGUUUCAACACAAGUUGAUACAAGCGCUCAAGGUAUGUCAAACUUAGAAUGCGCGAGUUAAACUGAAAUUAACAUCAAGAUUAUUCAAAAUGAGGAAUCAGUGACUCGAAAUGAGAUUUCUCACUGUAAUCAGCGGCUCAUGGAUCAAGAUUACGAUAAUGAACCUCAACUGGCAGGUGCUACAAAACGGAAAAUUCAGCGACGAUCUGAGAUGAGAAGUUGCGGCAAGAAAUUGAUAAUUUUGAAAAACAGCUCAAACCUAAGGAGAACCAAAGAGUAUACUCGAUGAAGCAUAGAAAAAAUAAAAAUUAUCGAAUUGUGUUCUAAAAAUCCUGGAGCAGCAAAAUCGUUGAUACCUCGAGCAAGCUCUAGACGUCCGCGCUUGGAGGAAGAGCAGUCUGAAACGGAGUCGCUGUGAAAUUGUUCCUAGUGUCCAUAGUCUUUUAGAGCUGCUCACUGAAAAACUUAUCGAGCUGGGAUUUAAUAUUUCUCGAAGCGCCGCUUACAUUCGACUGUUGCCUAGACGGGCAGAUACGCGGUAGGCUAAGCACCACGUAGUGACUGUAACGGUGAAGUUGAGUCGUCCUGAAGCAGACCAUCAUAAAGCGCACCAAGACCAAUACUUUUCUGUAGCUUCCAUAAGGUCACUAGAAACUGUAGCCUCAAUACUUGGCCCUGAUUCUAUGUCUUUUUUAUCCCAAGAUGACAAAGUAUGGGUCCCCAUAGGAUUGACAACAGCAAACAAACAGGCGCCUUUGCUAAUGCACGUUGAGUAUAAAGUGUCGUUACCAGAUCGCGACUUUAUAAUUACUGCAAGACAUAAAUUGAUCCCGAGUGUCUAUGCUUUGUGUGAAGUAAAACCGAAUGAGAUGGGGCGGCCAGAAGCCGUCUCAUAUAGUGGACCAACAUAUAUAGCAAUCCGAAGUGGUAAGCACUCGUCUUCGACUGCAACUAGUCACGCUGAAGACUUGGACACUCUUUUAACUCUUCAGCCUUUUGGUAAAUUAAUGAAAAACGAAGCCUGUCCUUAUUAUUUCGAACGAUGGCGGUCCCGAUGAGAACCCGCGAUAUCGGAAAGUAAUUGUACAUUCUAUACAGCAUUUUAAAAAAUAUGAAUUUGACAGAAUAUUCAUUGGGACUAAUGCCCCGGCAGAAGUGCUUUCAAUAGAGUAGAGAGACGCAUGGCUCCACUUAGCCGAGAACUAUCAGGUGUUGUUCUUCCCCAUGACUGUUUUGAGACACAUCUUGACUCCACGGUAAAACAAUCUGCAAUCCGCGUCGGAGUUCUUUACAUGAUCUUUUUUUAUUACCUCCAUAUCCCAUUCAAGUUAAUGGAGAUCCGGCGAUUCCGGAUCCUGAACAGCAUGAUGGAAAAACAUUUGCAACAUUCUUCAUUCGCCACUGCCUACCUAUUCAACCAUUACACACCUUCACAAGCAUGCCUUAUGAUGACCUCUAUUGUCCAAGUUUACGUCACGAUAUAGAAAAGAGAUGCUGCAAUACAUGUGGUAUCUAUUUCGCAUCCAUCAUCAUGCACGAGAUGUGCAAACACUUAAAUUGCGACCAUCGCGUAUUGUUUCAAGACAAGCGACUGUGUGCAAGCGACAACGGUUUGGAGUGGCUCAAUCAGAACGAAGUUGAAGGAGCAGAUGAUUUCAUUGAAAAUUAUUUGAAUACGUUGGUUCUAGUAGACACUCUUGAGAGUACACGAGUCUCCAUGGACUGAAUUAGAAUAAUCUCUUAUUAAUUUACGUUGAAGUAUUUAUUAUUUAAUUUCAUCACAGUGAUUUUAAACUAAGGCAAUAUUCUCAAAUCACAAUUGUAUACUAGUCUUUAAUAAAAGUGAUAGAGCAAA
Diorhabda carinulata is the source of this 2177-nucleotide long non-coding RNA. RefSeq lists it as uncharacterized. The record is from RefSeq and is a predicted model, not a curated record. The transcript has 3 exons. Lineage: Eukaryota; Metazoa; Arthropoda; Insecta; Coleoptera; Chrysomelidae.